UGUGAAGUUACUUAAACAACCAGGAGGUUGGCUUAGAAGCAGCCAUCCUUUAAAGAAAGCGUAAUAGCUCACUGGUCUAGUGAUUUUGCGCGGAAAAUAUAACGGGGCUAAAGUAAGUACCGAAGCUGUAGACUUAGUUUACUAAGUGGUAGGAGAGCGUUCUAUUUGCGUCGAAGGUAUACCGGUAAGGAGUGCUGGAGCGAAUAGAAGUGAGCAUGCAGGCAUGAGUAGCGAUAAUUAAUGUGAGAAUCAUUAACGCCGUAAACCCAAGGUUUCCUACGCGAUGCUCGUCAUCGUAGGGUUAGUCGGGUCCUAAGUCGAGUCCGAAAGGGGUAGACGAUGGCAAAUUGGUUAAUAUUCCAAUACCAACAUUAGUGUGCGAUGGAAGGACGCUUAGGGCUAAGGGGGCUAGCGGAUGGAAGUGCUAGUCUAAGGUCGUAGGAGGUUAUACAGGCAAAUCCGUAUAACAAUACUCCGAGAACUGAAAGGCUUUUUGAAGUCUUCGGAUGGAUAGAAGAACCCCUGAUGCCGUCGAGCCAAGAAAAGUUUCUAAGUUUAGCUAAUGUUGCCCGUACCGUAAACCGACACAGGUGGGUGGGAUGAGUAUUCUAAGGCGCGUGGAAGAACUCUCUUUAAGGAACUCUGCAAAAUAGCACCGUA
RNAcentral lists this ribosomal RNA (660 nucleotides) under Campylobacter jejuni. Its description in RNAcentral is "partial 23S ribosomal RNA". It matches the Rfam family "Bacterial large subunit ribosomal RNA", at positions 1074 to 1732 of the family's 2925-position model. The record is from RNAcentral. Lineage: Bacteria; Pseudomonadati; Campylobacterota; Epsilonproteobacteria; Campylobacterales; Campylobacteraceae.